UACGUAGGGUGCAAGCGUUGUCCGGAAUUAUUGGGCGUAAAGAGCUCGUAGGCGGUUUGUCGCGUCGGCUGUGAAAUCCCGAGGCUCAACCUCGGGUCUGCAGUCGAUACGGGCGGACUGGAGUUCGGCAGGGGAGACUGGAAUUCCUGGUGUAGCGGUGAAAUGCGCAGAUAUCAGGAGGAACACCGGUGGCGAAGGCGGGUCUCUGGGCAGUAACUGACGCUGAGGAGCGAAAGCGUGGGGAGCGAACAGG
RNAcentral lists this ribosomal RNA (253 nucleotides) under uncultured bacterium. RNAcentral's name for it is "partial 16S ribosomal RNA". It matches the Rfam family "Bacterial small subunit ribosomal RNA", at positions 524 to 776 of the family's 1533-position model. The record is from RNAcentral.